AACAUGAGUGGAAGUGUGAUGAGUGAAGAUAGGAUUAGUGUGCUAAGGUGGUAGGGAACCAAGCUUUAAUCAUGAAUAAUGCUUUGUCCUUAAUCAUUCUUCCAUUUCAAGACAAAGCUCAUCACUUCACUCCCUCACACUUCAAUUCUCGGCCUCCCCUCUCUCUCUCUAUACUCUCUUUUCCUCCAUUGAUGUCCAUUGAAGAAAGCUUAGAGAAGCUUCAUCAAACACUACUAUGAGAUAAUCCACCAUCCAAUCCAAUCAAAUACUAUCAUAUCUCAUCAAAUUCAAGAAGCUAGAGCUAAGAUCAAAGUUGGAGCAAAGUCUUGAUCACCUUUUAAAUCCUUGAGCUUUGUGAUGACCAGGAGGAUUAGCGCUACUUUUCCAAGACAGGUUUAUAUGUGUAUGAUCUUCAGGCUUUGCCUAUCCAGGUUGGCUGGCUGGUGCUGACGGGACGGAGCUGAGGCUAGAGUUAAAAUUCAUAUGUUAGACUUCCGCUGUAGCAAUUGCUCAUUUCAGUCUUUUGUUUUCCCAACUUAAGAUCUUCAUGUUAAAUUUCAAAUGAUAUAUUUGACCGAGCUUAGACUCUUCACUACUAAAUUUAUGUCAAUGAAUGUCGGUUGUCAGAAGCAUGAAACAAAACUUAUGAUCCAAAGGGGCAUAGCCCGAGUUUCUAUCCUAUUUCGGGUUUUAACAAGGUAUUUCCCUUGUUUAUU
Molecule: long non-coding RNA, 716 nt
Organism: Salvia miltiorrhiza (redroot sage)
Lineage: Eukaryota; Viridiplantae; Streptophyta; Magnoliopsida; Lamiales; Lamiaceae
Exons: 3
Source: RefSeq, a predicted model, not a curated record